UACGGAGGGGGCUAGCGUUGCUCGGAAUCACUGGGCGUAAAGGGCGCGUAGGCGGCGUUUUUAAGUCGGGGGUGAAAGCCUGUGGCUCAACCACAGAAUGGCCUUCGAUACUGGGACGCUUGAGUAUGGUAGAGGUUGGUGGAACUGCGAGUGUAGAGGUGAAAUUCGUAGAUAUUCGCAAGAACACCAGUGGCGAAGGCGGCUCACUGGCCCGAUACUGACGCUGAGGCACGAAAGCGUGGGGAGCAAACAGG
This 254-nucleotide ribosomal RNA is filed under the name uncultured bacterium. RNAcentral's name for it is "partial 16S ribosomal RNA". It matches the Rfam family "Bacterial small subunit ribosomal RNA", at positions 524 to 776 of the family's 1533-position model. The record is from RNAcentral.